RNAcentral lists this small RNA (52 nucleotides) under Hansschlegelia beijingensis. Its description in RNAcentral is "ffh sRNA". It matches the Rfam family "ffh sRNA". The record is from Rfam by way of RNAcentral. Lineage: Bacteria; Pseudomonadati; Pseudomonadota; Alphaproteobacteria; Hyphomicrobiales; Methylopilaceae.
AGUUCGGGGGGUCAACGUCCGCCGACGCGUCGCGUCCGCGGGCGCGAUUUGC